This 207-nucleotide long non-coding RNA is filed under the name Lathyrus oleraceus (garden pea). RNAcentral's name for it is "Pisum sativum (pea) long non-coding RNA (PSAT_LNC020035)". The record is from RNAcentral. Lineage: Eukaryota; Viridiplantae; Streptophyta; Magnoliopsida; Fabales; Fabaceae.
UUCUACAUAAGUCCAAUUACGAUUGCUUAACAUAUAGCUAAAUUUGACCCUAAAGGCAUAUCAUUCUAGUAAGUGAGAUUGUGAGUCUCCCAUCUUUCAUGGUAUUGUGUGGAAACUUGGCAUUUUUUCCUUCCUUUGGAAGAUGUCUUGGUUCAAAGGUCCAUGCUUGUGAAUAGAUGGUUGAGUGUUCUCUAAAGAAUGACUUAA